Molecule: long non-coding RNA, 2437 nt
Organism: Canis lupus familiaris (dog)
Lineage: Eukaryota; Metazoa; Chordata; Mammalia; Carnivora; Canidae
Exons: 4
Source: RefSeq, a predicted model, not a curated record
GAGCUCUGCUAUCCAGAAAGUUCUGGAAGCUCUCCAGACCCUGAAGCGUUCCACAACAUUGGAAACGGAAAAUGCCGAAAAUGCCGAGAGAGGUCCACAGUUAGUGAGAAGCCGCAAUGAGGCCUUCCAGUCGCACUGCCUGGGGGCCACAGGGGUGUCCUGACCCGGCGCCCCCGCCCCGGCGUGUCCGUGUCAAAGGCCUUCCCAGGCCAGUCCAGGUGACUCCACCCUUGGUCUCUGAAGCCCACGUCCGCAUCAUCGAAGGUCACGGCCCCUGCAACAGGUUUUUGUAUAUGCCUGAAUGCCCCAUUAUUUUACUGGGAUGUGACCUGUUAACUAAAUUUAAUGCUGAAGCUACUUCUUCUGUACCUGGUCACCUGGACAAAAAAGUACCCCCAGAGCAAGCUUGUGCCUUUCAAGCAAUGUUACUACAUGAAGGUGGAUAAGUCCUAUCAAAGCUUCCUGAAGAAGUUAUCCAAAAGGAUCCUGACAUGGAAAUGUUUACUGAUGGAAACAGCUUCAUGGGCCAAGGACAACAGAAAACUGGAUAUGCAGAGAUUACCAGCUAAGGAACUUUGGAGGUGGAAACUCCUCCACCAGAUACCUCUGUUCAAAAGGCAGAACCCAUUGCCGUAACAAGGGCCCUUUAUUUGAAAUAUUUCUUAUUGCCUCUUAAUAUAGGCCUGAGAACCCACCUGCAGGAACCACCUCCUGAGAUGACCCAGCUGUUUAACUGAACUGACCUAUUCUCAAGACUGAGACUGGUUCAUGAUGUAUGGAGCAGACUUUGUACCUACAGUCCAGAAUGAAUAUGAGGGAACAGUGUUGAUUUGUGAUGUUUUUGUAAGAAAAAAAUCUUGGUCAAAAGAGGGAUCUUCUCAUUACUCCUAACCAAUCCUGGGCUUAUCUAGCUAGGUACUGACAUUUGGAGAAUUGGAGGGGUCUACACACUAGGGAAAUUUGGUUACUCCUUUCUCUGUUCACUAUUCCAGUGAACUUUUAGACCUUUUAUUGAGCGAAAAGGGAAUCGACACCAGAUAGGGAUUACUUGCCUGUUAUCAAGAGGCUAGAUCUUGGUAUUCUUUUGGGAGAACAUUUUUAGUUGGCCAACAAAGCUGCUCUUACCAUUGUUGCCCAACUUAAAAAGAAAGUAAAUUUGUUAGCUAAGGUAGCACUUGAUAAUCACAUUGCUUUGCACUAUAUUCUUGCAGAACAGGAUAGAAUGCCAUUGCUAGCACAACUCGCUGUGUUUAUAUUAACGCUUCUGCUGCAGUAAAAACUAAAAUCUCCUUUAGAUAAAAUCAGAGAGCAAGCCACUUGGCCAUAGCAAAUUUCGCCAGAGGUGCCUGGAAAAAGUGACUGGAUUACUGGACUCUUUUUCUGGAUUCCCCAAGGGAUUAGCAAUGUUACAAGGACUACUCAGAUUUGGGUUAUCUAUACUUUUCAUUUCAUUAAUUGUAUCUGUACUAAUAAGAUGUGCUUUCCAAUGUUGCUCUAAAAUGGCCAAAGAAGAAACUAAUGUUUUGGUCAUGCAGAAUGUACAUGUUAAGCCGAAUACUAGGGAAUACUUCCAACAAAGUGCAAAAUUGUUUCAUUCCUCAAACCCUAAAACUGCAGGAAGUAGCCAGAGCAGUCAUUGUCCCAAUUCCUUCAAGACUGAGGAAUGAUCAUAAUUCUGGAGGGACUGAAAAUGUGCCCCAUAGGAUUAAUGAGGUUAAGACUAAUAGGAAAUUUAAAGCUUGUUUUUCAGAGGCCUGUCUCUCCCUAAUCAGCUAUUGUUUCGUUUCAGACCCCACAACAAAUCCAGUAACUGUUUCCAUUGAGGCUUGGACUGAUAUAAAUGAGGCUCACUGACACCAAUGCCCUGCAUUCCUUCCCUGUGAUAAUGAGCCCAAGAACUUAUGCAGUAUAUACUUCCUUUCAGAGAUGGGCAUAGCCCCUCUUGUCCUACAGUUGACUUCCUGACAUCAGGCACCCAAUUGUGCCUCGUUUUAAUUUUGUAUCUCCACCCUAAAGUGAACAUGGGAUGCGCAUGCUCCAUCUUUCCUCAUGAAUAGUCAUAAAUCUCCCUGUCUUUUGCAUCAAUGUGUAUGUAAUCCCACCCCUAAGAUUAUAAACAUUUGUUCUAAUUUCACUCAGGGGAGACAGAUUUGAACCAACCUCUGUUUCCUCUUUUUGCUGCCUUUCGAAUAAAUCUUUUCCCUGCUGCGUACUUGAUGUUUCAGUGAUUGGUUUUGCCAUGCAUUGGGCAGACAAACUUGGGUUCAUUUACAGCAUUGGCAAUUGGUUGUGUUUAAAUCAAUUUUCAAUUAAUUAAAGUUGUAAAUUUACAAACAGAUUUUCUUAAGUUUUUAAGUUGAACUUGCAUAACUUUGAUGUUCUAUUUAGAAAUCUUGUAAUUUUCAUAUAAAAAUAAAAGCAAUAACUUGUUCCUUGA